GGAAGGAUCAUUAACACGUAUCCACGUUCUUAUCAACUAACCCACUACGAACCGAUCUCCCCGAGACACUCCUAACAUACGAUCUGUCACUUCUGCGGUUAUAAUGGGUCCCUGUUCUAUCAAAGGUUCAGUGUGGCAUACCGUGUUGGCUACAUCCCGCUGCUGUGUUCACUCACGGCGGCGAGGGUGAGAGGUCGAUUACCUGGAUGUCGGGCUUUACUUCACCCUUCGAGUCUUCCCAUUUACCUGGCUCGCGGAGUGGAACCAUACCAAUCUCACCCUAUUUUACCCUAAUUGGCUAAUACUAGUUCCUCCUGGAGAAAUCCGGCCUGGAAUUCUAAGAUUUAUCUUAACUAAGCACAACUCUUAGCAAUGGAUAUCUUGGUUCUCGCAACGAUGAAGAACGCAGCGAAAUGCGAUAUGUAAUGCGAAUUGCAGAAUUCAGUGAAUCAUCGAAUCUUUGAACGCAAAUUGCGCUCUCGGGAUAGACCUGGGAGCACGCCUCUCUGAGUAUCGGUUCAACCUAUCUCGGUUGGCGCACUGAGCUAAGCCUUCGCGGGCCCUGUUCGUGCGCCUGUUCCGGAAAAUGAGAGUCUUGGCUACAAUCUAAAGCGGCCAAGUCUUUUGAAAUAUGUUGAGCUUAGAUCGACUAGUACUACCCGUCUGGCGCUCUUCGGAGUGUCAGACUAGCGCCUCUUGGCUCUUUCUCUACUAGUAACGUGGAUAAUCUCACCCUUUGUGGUGUCUUGAAACGUUAGUAAAGUUUUGGAAGGCUCCAGUCUCGAGACGUGAAAGAACCUAGCUUUCGAUCGACGGCGUUUAGAAUUGACUUUCCUGCACUGGGGCAACCUGGCUGCGGAAACAUUUUCGAAUUAGAUCUCAGAUGAAGCGAGAAGACCCCCUGAAUUUAAGCAUAUUAAUAAGGGGAGGAAAAGAAACUAACAAGGAUUCCCCCAGUAACGGCGAGUGAAGCGGGAAGAGCUCAAUAUGAAAAUCGGUGCUCCAAGCGGGUCAUCGAAUUGUAGCCUAGAGACGUGUCAUCAGCGUGUGAGCCAGGUACAAGUCCUUUGGAAGAAGGCAUCAGAGAGGGUGAGAAUCCCGUCCUUGACCUGGAGUUCGCCGCGUACGAUGCAUGUUCACAGAGUCGAGUUGUUUGGGAUUGCAGCUCUAAAUGGGUGGUAAGUUUCAUCUAAAGCUAAAUAUUGGCGAGAGACCGAUAGCGAACAAGUACCGUGAGGGAAGAUGAAAAGAACUUUGAAAAGAGAGUUAAAAAGUACUUGAAAUUGCUAAGAGGGAAGCGCUGGAAACCAGUCGUUACUCGCAGUCAUAUCGAUUGUUUGCUCCCGAAGGGGCGUGCUGUCAGUGGGUUAACCCUGUGCAGUAUGCUCGGACGGAGGGUAGAUGGUUCUGUGUCUGUGAGUGUGUCAGGAUCAAUUCGAUUCGCAGGAGAAAGCGAUGAGGAAGGUAGGGCUGCUCUCGGGCAGCCUGUUAUAGCCUUGUCGCCAUACUGUGGGUUGGAUUGAGGAAGUAAUGGUGCGCCUUUUUGGCUUGGUACCUUGCUCCUGCUGGAUCAGUUGGUUUGGAUAGCAAUGCUAUGCGGCUGACGAAGUCUGGUACUGGGUGAGACUACCAUAUGCACCAUCGCGAUCCUGACGAAAUGGUUUUCAUCGACCCGUCUUGAAACACGGACCAAGGAGUCUAACAUAUAUGCGAGUAUUUGGGUGGUAAACCCUGGUGCGUAAUGAAAGUAAAGGCAGCUUGUCUGCUGAGGUAGGAACCCGGCAACGGGGGCACUAUCGACCGAUCAUCACUUGUGAAAGAUUUGAGUAAGAGCAUAUCUGUUUGGACCCGAAAGAUGGUGAUCUAUGCCUGAACAGGGUGAAGCCAGGGGAAACUCUGGUGGAAGCUCGUAGCGAUACUGACGUGCAAAUCGUUCGUCUGAUUUGGGUAUAGGGGCGAAAGACUAAUCGAACCAUCUAGUAGCUGGUUCCCUC
This 1994-nucleotide unclassified non-coding RNA is filed under the name uncultured fungus. RNAcentral's name for it is "sequence contains 18S rRNA gene, ITS1, 5.8S rRNA gene, ITS2, 28S rRNA gene". The stretch from base 875 to 1994 matches the Rfam family "Eukaryotic large subunit ribosomal RNA", at positions 1 to 961 of the family's 3401-position model. Lineage: Eukaryota; Fungi. The record is from RNAcentral.